RNAcentral lists this ribosomal RNA (138 nucleotides) under Duganella alba. Its description in RNAcentral is "partial 23S ribosomal RNA". The stretch from base 1 to 119 matches the Rfam family "Bacterial large subunit ribosomal RNA", at positions 2811 to 2925 of the family's 2925-position model. The record is from RNAcentral. Lineage: Bacteria; Pseudomonadati; Pseudomonadota; Betaproteobacteria; Burkholderiales; Oxalobacteraceae. RNAcentral also lists the same sequence under 5 other names.
UUCCCAGAGCCUUGAGCUCUUUGAAGGGUCGUUCGAGACCAGGACGUUGAUAGGUCAGGUGUGGAAGUGCAGUAAUGCAUUAAGCUAACUGAUACUAAUUGCCCGUACGGCUUGUCCCUAUAACCUUAGCAGGUUAUA